This 249-nucleotide ribosomal RNA is filed under the name uncultured bacterium. Its description in RNAcentral is "partial 16S ribosomal RNA". It matches the Rfam family "Bacterial small subunit ribosomal RNA", at positions 85 to 334 of the family's 1533-position model. The record is from RNAcentral.
UAGAUGGCGACCGGCGCACGGGUGCGUAACGCGUAUACAAUCUACCUUUUACAGAGGGAUAGCCCAGAGAAAUUUGGAUUAACACCUCAUGGAAUUAUAAGAUGGCAUCAUUUAAUAAUUAAAACUUCGGUGGUAAAAGAUGGGUAUGCGUUCUAUUAGCUGGUAGGUAAGGUAACGGCUUACCUAGGCAACGAUAGAUAGGGGCCCUGAGAGGGGGACCCCCCACACUGGUACUGAGACACGGUCCAG